GAUGAACGCUAGCGACAGGCUUAACACAUGCAAGUCGAGGGGCAGCGAGGGCGUAGCAAUACGCCUGUCGGCGACCGGCGCACUGGUGAGUAACACGUAUGCGACCUGCCCCCUACAGGGGUAUAACCCGUAGAAAUGCGGACUAAUCCCCCAUAGUCCCGCGGGCUGCAUGGCCUGCGGGGGAAAGGGUUUCCGGUAGGGGAUGGGCAUGCGGCGCAUUAGCUAGUUGGCGGGGCAACGGCCCACCAAGGCGACGAUGCGUAGGGGUUCUGAGAGGAAGGUCCCCCACACUGGUACUGAGACACGGACCAGACUCCUACGGGAGGCAGCAGUGAGGAAUAUUGGUCAAUGGGCGCAGGCCUGAACCAGCCAAGUCGCGUGAGGGAGGACGGUCCUACGGAUUGUAAACCUCUUUUGUCGGGGAGUAACGUGCGGGACGCGUCCCGUAUUGAGAGUACCCGAGAAAAGCAUCGGCUAACUCCGUG
RNAcentral lists this ribosomal RNA (485 nucleotides) under uncultured bacterium. RNAcentral describes it as "bacterial SSU rRNA". It matches the Rfam family "Bacterial small subunit ribosomal RNA", at positions 28 to 507 of the family's 1533-position model. The record is from RNAcentral.